GAUGAACGCUGGCGGCGUGCCUAAUACAUGCAAGUCGAGCGAACAGAUGAGGAGCUUGCUCCUCUGACGUUAGCGGCGGACGGGUGAGUAACACGUGGAUAACCUACCUAUAAGACUGGGAUAACUUCGGGAAACCGGAGCUAAUACCGGAUAAUAUAUUGAACCGCAUGGUUCAAUAGUGAAAGACGGUUUUGCUGUCACUUAUAGAUGGAUCCGCGCCGCAUUAGCUAGUUGGUAAGGUAACGGCUUACCAAGGCAACGAUGCGUAGCCGACCUGAGAGGGUGAUCGGCCACACUGGAACUGAGACACGGUCCAGACUCCGACGGGAGGCAGCAGUAGGGAAUCUUACGCGAGGGGGGAAAGCCUGACGGAGCAAAGCCGCGUGAGUGAUGAAGGUGUUAGGAUCGUAAAACUCUGUUAUUAGGGAAGAACAAAUGUGUAAGUAACUAUGCACGUCUUGACGGUACCUAAUCAGAAAGCCACGGCUAACUACGUG
This 497-nucleotide ribosomal RNA is filed under the name uncultured bacterium. RNAcentral's name for it is "partial 16S ribosomal RNA". It matches the Rfam family "Bacterial small subunit ribosomal RNA", at positions 28 to 507 of the family's 1533-position model. The record is from RNAcentral.